Molecule: long non-coding RNA, 1050 nt
Organism: Brassica napus (rape)
Lineage: Eukaryota; Viridiplantae; Streptophyta; Magnoliopsida; Brassicales; Brassicaceae
Exons: 3
Source: RefSeq, a predicted model, not a curated record
CACUACUAAAAGCAGAAUACGGUGAGCGGAGAGAGCAUCCACGUCAUCUAAUUUAAUUGACCAAUAGAAAACUGUUAUGCGGCCACGUCAAUAAUUUCCCAAGGCCGGACACAGUUAUUUCCCAGUUAUCUGAUUCAGUGUGGCCCACUUUCAUACAAACCCCAUCACUUGGCCCAACUACUACGAUAGGGAUCACCGACUCUCCACUUCACCUUCUUCAGUGUAGUCUCUGCAAAUCACCGUUAAGUUGAAACUAAGUCUUCCCACUCUUUCACAUUUAAUAAGCUUCAUUACUUUAAAAAAAAAUUGUUUCUUCCGUUGAUAUUAUUUGGGCUUUUAUGAUUUUCAUUGGGUAACAACCGCCAUGACCAGAUACGCCGGAAGCUUCGAUCACCGGCAAGGACAAAGUCAUAUCAAACACAGGACAACUAUCAAGUUUUCAACUUGAACAAACUAUACCUAAAUGGCGGAGGCUGAGAGCUUUGUCCCUUUUCAGUGCAUAAGGAAUGAUGUCAUUUGGAGACUCAAAUCCUACAAGCAUGAUUGGAUCAGUGGUUUCAGAGCUGAAUUUAGAUGCUAGGAAAGCUAUGGACGAUGUUGGGAUCUGAUUCUGAAGAUCAGGUACUUUUCUUUUAAUUGUUUAUUUACAUAGACAUAAGAACAACUCUACUUACAUUCCAGUUUUCCCGAAUGCACAAGAAGCAUUUAUAAUAGAUUGAUGAUAUAAUGAUCAUGCAAGCCUAUUUCGUAGAUUACCUGAGAAAAAACUAAAGUUAUAUAUCAUGUAUUAGCAUGUGACAUCUAAGAUAACUAUAACAUAGAUUUUUAACCACAAUACAAAUUUGUUAUACUUUGUUAAUAAUUAUUUUUACCACCAAUCAAUUCUGAAAAAUAACAGUAUUGUACAAAUACGCUUAUGAACAUUAUUCAAAAUUAAUUAAUUAUAUUUGUCCUGAAAAAUAAAAGUAUUGUGGAAAAUACGAUUAUGAACAUUAUUCAAAACUAAUUAGUUAUAUAUUUGCAAAUACAUCACACAUAGAUGUAUAAUGA